RNAcentral lists this ribosomal RNA (468 nucleotides) under uncultured bacterium. RNAcentral's name for it is "partial 16S ribosomal RNA". It matches the Rfam family "Bacterial small subunit ribosomal RNA", at positions 28 to 507 of the family's 1533-position model. The record is from RNAcentral.
GACGAACGCUGGCGGCGUGCUUAACACAUGCAAGUCGAACGGAAAGGCCCUGCUUUUGUGGGGUGCUCGAGUGGCGAACGGGUGAGUAACACGUGAGUAGCCUGCCCUUGACUUUGGGAUAACUUCAGGAAACUGGGGCUAAUACCGGAUAGGAGCUCCUGCUGCAUGGUGGGGGUUGGAAAGUUUCGGCGGUUGGGGAUGGACUCGCGGCUUAUCAGCUUGUUGGUGGGGUAGUGGCUUACCAAGGCUUUGACGGGUAGCCGGCCUGAGAGGGUGACCGGCGAAGUGGGGAGGGAGGAAGGGCCGAGCUACCGAGGGGAGGAAGAGGGGGGAAGUUUGGAAAAGGGGGGGGAAGCCGAAGGCGACAGCCCGGGGUGGGGGAAGAGGGCUUAGGGUUGGUAACCCGCUUUCGCGUGUGAGGAGGGGUGAGGGGGGGAAAGGGGAAAGGAAGCCCGGGCUAACUAGGUG